RNAcentral lists this ribosomal RNA (374 nucleotides) under uncultured organism. Its description in RNAcentral is "bacterial SSU rRNA". It matches the Rfam family "Bacterial small subunit ribosomal RNA", at positions 527 to 896 of the family's 1533-position model. The record is from RNAcentral.
GAAGGGUGCAAACGGUUGCUCGGAAUUAUUGGGCGUAAAGCGCACGUAGGCGGCUUUUCAAGUCGGAUGUGAAAUCCCUCGGCUUAACCAAGGAAGUGCAUCCGAAACUGGAGAGCUUGAGUACUUAAGAGGAUCGCGGAAUUCCCGGUGUAGAGGUGAAAUUCGUAGAUAUCGGGAGGAACACCAGUGGCGAAGGCGGCGAUCUGGGAAGAUACUGACGCUGAGGUGCGAAAGCGUGGGGAAGCAAACAGGAUUAGAUACCCUGGUAGUCCACGCCGUAAACGAUGAGUGCUAGAUGCUGUGGGGUAUUGACCCCCGCGGUGUCGCAGCCAACGCGUUAAGCACUCCGCCUGGGGAGUACGGCCGCAAGGCUA